RNAcentral lists this long non-coding RNA (6262 nucleotides) under Sus scrofa (pig). RNAcentral describes it as "lncRNA (ENSSSCG00000052996.1)". Lineage: Eukaryota; Metazoa; Chordata; Mammalia; Artiodactyla; Suidae. The record is from RNAcentral.
CUCAGUGUGUUAAUGAUCCAGCAUUGCCAUGAGCUGUGGUGUAGGUUGCAGACAUGGCUCGGAUCCUGCGUUGCUGUGGCUCUGGCGUAGACCGGCGGCUACAGCUCCGAUUGGAUCCCUAGCCUGGGAACCUCCAUAUGCUGCGGGAGCAGCCCAAGAAAUGGCAAAAAGACAAAAAAAAAAAAAAAAAGAAGAAGACAGAGUAAAUCUGUUACUCCACGAUGACCAGAAGUUUAUGUUCUCAGGACAUUGACAAGUUUUGGAGAUGAGUAAAAUUUAACAAUUAUCAAAAAUAAAAAAAAAAAAAAAUUAAUCAAUGAAAUGGGGGGAAAACAUUAUUUUCUCUGUAUAAAUAUCAUAGAAUAACUGUCUAAAAGAUGACUAACAAAAUAAUGUAUAGUAUGUCACAGAAUCAAUAUAAAUAUUUGAAUUUUAUUAAGUUUGUGUUAUGUGUCAGGUACUUUAAAUUUAUAGUAUAUUAUGAUUUGUGCUAAGUAUACUUUACCAUGUAUAACUUUUAAAAAUAAUUUUUUUUAACCUAUAUUUUUUAUCCUAAUUGUCUAGGUUUAAGCUCCUACAAAACUUGGAUUUGCCACUGCCACUGUCUGGAACAUAGAAACAAACACUGAAAGAAAAUUUUAUAUGUGUAGUCAUUCUUAUUAAAAGGUUUUUUUGUGUUGGUAUCUUAAUUAAAAUUAACUGAAUCUCCUCUCUUCCUACUCUAUUUAAAAUCUCAGGAAAAUUUCAAGGUAUCUUUUUUGUUUCUAAGUCUUUUUCUGUGACCUUGAACAAGUUUCGGGUGCUCUUUCAACAUGAACAUGUUCCUUCUCUGUUCUUAAAUAUUCUCAUUUGAAAUAAUGAAAGACAGAUCUUUUUUAUUAGAGUCAACAAAAAAUGAGUCUGGCAUAGGAUUGUGAAAAAGAAAAUUAUUACUAAAUUUAUGAAAUUAUAUAUAAGGACUUUCUCAAUCAUUUUUUUGCAAUUCCCUCAAGAUUCCUACAGAAAUAUCCUAUUGAUCUACUAAUAUUAUUUGUAAACAACAAAAAUAAUUCUCUUAAGCAUAAAACCAAUUCUACCUUUUUCUGUAUCUAGGCUCCAUUUACACAUAGAAAGACUCUCCGUAAGAAUUAAGUGUAUCUCAUGCCUGAUUUCAAUGACUCCUGCUGAUUUUUAUAAACAUUGAAGCUUAUAUUCCUGUGCAUCAGAGUCACCAGAUAUUUCUCUUGUUUUAUUCAAAAGCUCCAGUACUAUUAUGGCUGAAAUUCCAUGUUGUUUGCUUCAGGUUGUUGGGCUUUGUAAAUGAACAACCACUAGCUUUCUGAGAUCUCAUAAAUAAUUCCCUUUGCUCUACUGCUAUUCUUUCAACCCCCUUAGCCAUUCUGUGUUCCUUCAACACAUCGGAAAAUAUAUCUCAGUGAGUCUGUAAAUAUACUCCUCUCCAUCACUUAAAUUAUCACACUUGGGUAGUUUAUAUUCUCCACUUCACUCCUCCUCUAUUUUUUUUUUUUUUUUUAAUUCCCAGCCAGUAAUCUGAAAGAUCUGUGUGGCCUGAAAUGGUUUCAGCUCCAGAUAAAUUACUCUAUGGUCCUGGCACCAUGAAAUACAGAAUCUGGUGUGGUAAAAACUUCGGAAAGGGUGGCCAAACUAUACUUGGACACUGAGAUUGGGUGAUACCAGGGACUAUUUCUUAAAGUUAUCAAUAUUUUGAUAAUUUGAAAUACUUACAUCUGAAUGGCUAUUUACAUAAUUUGAAUGCUAUUCUUCAAAAAUAAUAGUUCUUCCUUUGGAGAACUCUAUUGUUUCUGCAAAACUACUCUAAGAAUAGUCACAAAUGAGGAGUGAUUAUAACAAAAAAUAAGAAAUACCUAAAGUAUUCUUAUUCAACAUAAAAAUACAGGUAACAAUCCUAUUAUUUACUAUCAUUAUCUUUUACUAAUUUUUCCAGAAGGAUGAAAAAUUAAAUGAUGACAGUUAAAAAGAGGAUAUCUAUUGGAGAGAAAAAGUAUAAAAAUUCUAUAAAUAUAAAUGACUAACAGCAUAUUUCCUUAUGCUAGCAAUAAUAAAUGAGAAAAAAUUGGGGAAUCAAUUUAUUUAAAAGGAACAAAAAUGAUGGGGCUUAUACAUUUUAAAAUAUUACUGAGACAUAUAAAAAUAUUUUAGAAAGUUAGAGAUGCAAAUCAGAUAUCUUAUUUACAAAUAUUAAUUUAUAGGCUUAUCAUUCCCCAAACAUCUUAAUAUGAUUUUUAAGGUAAAAUUAGAUAAUGCCAUUCUAAGAAACAUUCAUAAAAAUAUUCAAUUUUAAUAAAUUUCAAAAAUGUUAAUAAAUCAUUAUGAUAAUAUAGGACAUGAUUACUCGAUACACAAAUACUUAAAACUGUAGUUAUUGAGUCUGAAUAUGUUAGAAUCAAGAAAUGUAAUGAUGGAACCAACUUGUGUGUGAGUAUGAAUAAGAUUAUACCACAGGAACUGCCAUUCCCUUAAUCAGCCUAAGCUUAAGCUAAUAAUUUCUUUCUUUCUCUUAUGUACUUACUACAUUUCUAUACCCUAUCAUUUCUAUACCCCAAAUAAAUCUUAAAUUUUUCAAUUCCUUUCCACCUGUACUGUCACUACUCCCAUAAAAGAAACCAUCACAUAAAACAAAUUAUUACAAUAGCCUUGCAAAACCCUUAAAUAAAGAAAGAUAAUGAUGAGAGUUUUGGUAAAUCAAAGGAAGUAAAGAACACAGAAGAAGCUUUAAGAGACAGUUACUAUCAUCACAUUGAAAAUCUGUCUUAGAGUAGAUAUUAGAGUUUCAGAUUAUGGUAGAUUAAAAAACCAAAACUACAUAUUUUUGCAACUCUUCUUAUCAGUAUUAGACAGAGGGCUAUCAACAUUAAGCACUAUAAGGCAGAAAAACAGGAAGACAGACAUCAAAGGUAGCACUGAUGAUAAGCAAGUUGAGAAAGAAAGAAAUGCCCACUCUUAGCCAUUUUCUGGUCUCCAUAUUUUAGCUUUAUAACCUGGCAUUUAGCUCUUCUUUCUGGAAAUGGACCUCUUGUGAUUGCAACCAUUAAAAAUAGUGAUGCAUUAAAUACAGACAUUAAGGACAAACUCAUAAUAAGUAAUUAAAACAGAAUAAUAAACUAAACUUACAAAAAGAAACUUAAAUCUUCUAGUGGAUAAUCUUAGAAAUAUUUUUGUUUCUGAAAAAAUUCCUGCUGAAAAAUAAACAAAGGUCCACAUAAGAAAGUAGCAAAAGAGGAUGGAGAUGCAAUAUGUUUCCUUUGUUUCACUUUUCACCAUCUUUCUCAUAGUUUUGGAAUUAACUCCUAUAAUAAAACAUUAUACCUUAAUUUUUUACUCAAUAUGUUUCCCAGAGGAUCAAAGCUAAGAAGGUAAACUUCCUGAAAAUAUAAAGAUAAAACAAGAAAACAAUUAUUCUUGUGUUUUACAAUCCAGGAUUACUUAAUUCAACCUGGAAACUGCUAAGAUCAGAGGAGACCAAUACUAGGAACCAAAAUAAUAUUAAAAGACAAGUUUAGGAAUAAUAAUAAGAUGAUAACAUGAAAGAAAUUUGGGUUUUCCUGGAUUUAUUUAAUAAAACUCCUUUCAUAAACUCUCUGCCUAUACUAUAGAAGAGAUACAGUCUGUGCCCCCAAGUAACUCAUUUGGCCAUUAUUUUGAAUUUCCCAAGUCAGUGGUUAAAAUGGGGGUAGAAGCUAAGAAGGAGCAAUCAGUCCGAGUGGAAACCAGAACAUGAAUCCUAACAGGAUAACCAGAGCAGAAGCCUGUGGACCAGAGAGAAAUUUCUAGGCAGAAAAUUAUAAGUGGGCAAGAUCUCCAACAUUGCUUAAUUAGAAUGGAUUUCAGUCAAAAUAAACUAAGAAGCUAUUUAAAAAAAACGUAAGUUAUAUUUGACAAAAGAUUAGCAAAAUUAUAUUUUUGAAGGCUGGUCUACAAAAUAUCUGCAUUAGCAAAACCCUCAGGCUAUUUUCCACCUGCCCACUCCAACCAUGCUUAGAAGACAUUGACCACUAAGCACUACACUUGGUAGAAUGGAAGUUCAUCUGUAUGUUUAUCUCAGACAUUUUCAAAAUGAAUAAGAAUAAAUAAGGGGUACAGAUAAUUGAAAAACACAAAAUAACAACAGCAACAAACAUAAAAUAGUUCAUUGCCAUUUUGGGGAGUUCCUUCAUUUCUAUAUUUUAGGAUAUAUGUGCUAUGCACACAUACGUCACAGGAAUUACUAAUAAAGUGAUGUGAUGGUUAUUAUCCUCUCUUCUUAAAUUUAAAAAAAAUUAACCCUAUAUUUUUCUCCUUUUAGAUAUUUAUUACAUUUGUGGCUGAAUAAAUAUACAAUUUAACUUUAAGUUAUCAGAUGUUUAUGACUUAUAGCUGAGCUUAACAUCACCUAAAAAUCCCGGAUUUGGAGCUGGAUGUUAUGACUAGAUGAGAUUAUAAUGUCCUUUUGGAUAUGAUAUAUACACAUAUAUACACAAACAGAUAUAUGUGAAUGUAUUUAGGCAGAAAGUAUGAACUCUGAGUAGUUUGUUUUUGUUUUUAUUUAAAGUGUCCUUUGUUUUUACUGGUUGCAUGUGAAUAAAGAUGGAGGCUAUUUUAGAAUGUGAGUACAAAGCUAGCUGAACAGAAAUAUAAAAAGAUCAAGAAGACCUAUAUCAAGUUUAAGCAAAGAACUAAGCUCUAAUUGAAUCAGUAUUACCUAGACUUUUUUUUUUUUUUUGGUCUUUUUAUGGCUACACCUGUGGCAUAUGGAGGUUCCCAGGCUAGGGGUUGAAUCGGAGCUGUAGCCACUGGCCCAUGCCACAGCCAUAGCAACACCAGGUCAGAGCUGCAUCUGCGACCUAUACCACAGCUCAUGCCAACAUGGGAUCCUUAACAUACUAAGCGAGGCCAGGGAUUGAGAACCUGUGUCCUCAUGGAUACUAGUCAGAUUUGUUUUCGCUGAGCCAUGGUGGGACUCCCACCUUUAAAUUUCUUAGGUAAGCAAGUUAAUAAAUUCUGUUAGUGAUCUAGCUGGUGUGAACUAUAUGUUCUGCAACUAGUUACUAGAGAGAUACAAUUAGUAAAAAAUAAAAUAGCAUGAAAAAUGAUUUGAUAUAGACGUUAAUUUUCUUUGUUGGUAACCUUUAAAGUCACUGAGACUUCUAAAGAGGAAUAUAUUACAGCAGUCUAGAAAUACCCUCAUUUAUCUAUGGUCUCACCCAUCACAUCAGCAAUAAACAACAAUAAAUAUAGAUUAUAUACUUUAUAUAUGAUAUAUAAUUAAGAUACUAAUUCUCAAUGGCAUCACAAAUGUCACAAAGGAUGUUUCGCACUUAUUUAUAAAGACUAAAUUUUCUCCAAGGGCAAAUUAUAUUUUUUCUUUAAUUUUCACAGAAGACAUGAUAAUUACAUCUUACUUGAAUAUUCAAAAUAUUCAAAUGAUUAACUUUUACACUAGAACAGAAGGCUCUGUUGAAUAAAUGCUGUUGAAGGCCAAAAAACAAAAGUAUAAAAAUCAAUCAUCUCAGCUAGUCUACUCCAGCCAGCUGAUGGACACAGCUGAAACUGUAAUGUUUACCUUCAACCUCACUGGACUUCAAUUUGUUUUUUAUAGUAUCUGGAAUUUCACUAUCUUCAUGUUUACAAUAAACAACUGGCAAUACAUGGUACAAUUUGGGAAUUACUCUAGGUCCAUGAGUGAGAAAUACUAUACUUUUUGGCAGUCUUCUAGCCUCUGGGACUUUAGCUAAAUAAGAAAAGGUUUGAGAGAAUAUAGAAUUCUAGGAUGAGAAAGCCUAGGAAUUUAAAUGACUUGCUUGUUUCAGAUGCCUUCUCUAGAAAAGCUAGAAGAAUGCAAAUUUGAUUUUUGCUUUUUGUGCACUUCCACUGCUUUUGCUUUCCCACACAUGCACACAGACAAACUGUUUUAUAAGAAUCUAUCACUUUAAUGGCUACCAGUUUCACUAAAACUCAUCUCCUCAUGAUGUAUUAUGAGGACCUCAAUUUUAUGUGAUUAGCCUUAGCACACUGUUUAUAAGCCAAAGGCAAGCUUUCUGUUGUCAAGUGGAAAAGCUGGCAGGGCAGUGAGUGGUAAGUAUGGAGGAAGUAAGGGUCCUACUGUGGCAACUAGUUCAGAAACUCCUCAGGCAAGAGGUCAAGAAUUAUCAAUUACCAUGUCCUAUUUGAGGACAUUUGUUCUGAAGCAUAAGAAAUACACACAGACUUAAUGAGUAGACAAAUAUCUAUAUGUGAUUUGGUUGUAGCUGUCCUUUAACGUUAG